This 798-nucleotide ribosomal RNA is filed under the name uncultured Glomeromycotina. RNAcentral's name for it is "SSU rRNA". It matches the Rfam family "Eukaryotic small subunit ribosomal RNA", at positions 314 to 1114 of the family's 1831-position model. The record is from RNAcentral. Lineage: Eukaryota; Fungi; Glomeromycota.
AUCAACUUUCGAUGGUAGGAUAGAGGCCUACCAUGGUGGUAACGGGUAACGGGGUGUUAGGGCACGACACCGGAGAGGGAGCCUGAGAAACGGCUACCACAUCCAAGGAUGGCAGCAGGCGCGCAAAUUACCCAAUCCCGACACGGGGAGGUAGUGACAAUAAAUAACAAUACGGGGUCCUUUGGGUCUCGUAAUUGGAAUGAGUACAAUUUAAAUCUCUUAACGAGGAACAAUUGGAGGGCAAGUCUGGUGCCAGCAGCCGCGGUAAUUCCAGCUCCAAUAGCGUAUAUUAAAGUUGUUGCAGUUAAAAAGCUCGUAGUUGAAUUUCGGGGUCGGUAGGUUGGUCAUGCCAUCGGUAUGCACUGGUCUCACCGAUUCCUCCCUCUUGUAGAAGCGUAAUGCCAUUAAUUUGGUGUUGCGGGGAAACAGGACUGUUACUUUGAAAAAAUUAGAGUGUUUAAAGCAGGCUCGCGCUUGAAUACAUUAGCAUGGAAUAAUGAAAUAGGACGUUUGAUUCUAUUUUGUUGGUUUCUGGGAUUGACGUAAUGAUUAAUAGGGAUAGUUGGGGGCAUUAGUAUUCAAUUGUCAGAGGUGAAAUUCUUGGAUUUAUUGAAGACUAACUACUGCGAAAGCAUUUGCCAAGGAUGUUUUCAUUAAUCAAGAACGAAAGUUAGGGGAUCGAAGACGAUCAGAUACCGUCGUAGUCUUAACCAUAAACUAUGCCGACUAGGGAUCGGAUGAUGUUAAUUUUUUAAUGACUCAUUCGGCGCCUUACGGGAAACCAAAGUGUUUGGGUUC